This is a long non-coding RNA of Ictalurus punctatus (channel catfish), 783 nucleotides long. RefSeq lists it as uncharacterized. NCBI's taxonomy places the organism in Eukaryota, Metazoa, Chordata, Actinopteri, Siluriformes, Ictaluridae. The record is from RefSeq and is a predicted model, not a curated record. The transcript has 3 exons.
CUGGCAUGGUGUUGAGAGCAGCGAUGGCAGCCACUGCGGGGAAAGCGCACACCAGAACAAACACUCUCCAGCUGUGGAACUGAUAGGCCGAGCCCAUCUGGAAGCUCCAGCCUGGUGGAAGAGAGCAGGCGACAAAGCAGGAAGGAGCUGUAUCCUUGGACAAAAGAGGAGAAGAAAGCAAAGACGCUGUUGAUGGAGAGAGAAAUGAGCAGAGUCUGCCUGCGUCCGAUCCGAUCAGCCAGACCGCCCCACACAAAAGCACCCACCAUCAUGCCCAGGGAAUUCACUGUGGCUGAGGCUGAGUGCUCAGUGAACUGUAUCAGCUCCUCCAUCUCUCCCUCUGCUCCACCUCUGUACCGCAGCAGAGGUGCUGAGCUCGGGCAUGGAGAAAACAAACAGAACAAACCAUCCAAAGCACCGUGUCACCUCACCGUCACUCCUCCCUGCACCGCGCUUCGGGCUGAGGACGAGAGUAAAGACAAAAUCAUUCAUUAUUAAUGCGCGCUAAUGACUCCUAGAGCUCUCAUACACACUAUGUGUCAUGCUGUUACCGGAAAAUAAUCAACAGCGGUAUUCCUUUUCUCAUACUACAGCAGUUAGCCAAUGAUGAAAGUUUUAAUAUUAAUGAAAGAUCCACACGCUGUAGUUCUUAUCUGUUUAUAGUUACAUUUAACUACAACACGUUCCUCCUGUCACUUACGUUAGAGCAGCUAUAAACAGUGUAAACGGUUGUUCCUUCAGCAGCCUUCUCUUUCUUUCUCUCCUGAAGAUAAUAAUACCGAA